This 241-nucleotide unclassified non-coding RNA is filed under the name plant metagenome. Its description in RNAcentral is "partial contains small subunit ribosomal RNA, internal transcribed spacer 1, and 5.8S ribosomal RNA". The stretch from base 1 to 53 matches the Rfam family "Eukaryotic small subunit ribosomal RNA", at positions 1778 to 1831 of the family's 1831-position model. The record is from RNAcentral.
GGAAGUAAAAGCGUAACAAGGUUUCCGUAGGUGAACCUGCGGAAGGAUCAUUACAGAGUUCAUGCCCUCACGGGUAGAUCUCCCACCCUUGAAUAUUUAUACCUUAGUUGCUUUGGCAGGCCGUGGAAACACCAUGGGCUCCGGCUUAUGCGUGCCUGCCAGAGGAAACAAACUCUGUUUUUAGUGAUGUCUGAGUACAAUAUAAUAGUUAAAACUUUCAACAACGGAUCUCUUGGUUCUG